Molecule: non-coding RNA, 21 nt
Filed under: Arabidopsis thaliana (thale cress)
Lineage: Eukaryota; Viridiplantae; Streptophyta; Magnoliopsida; Brassicales; Brassicaceae
Source: RNAcentral
UAGAGAUUAUGUGAAAUUCCU